AUUGCUUAUUUUAUUUGCUGCACGAGCCUUGCAGAGGAGGAGUAAUUUUUGCAAAUUAUAGACAGGUAUUUCAAUUUGUGAAUCAGCAGUUAUCUUCAUAAUAAGCUUGUUGUUUUACAUACAGAGCACGUAAACUGACCAGUUCAUACCAAUCACAAUACCAAAGUAUCUUAAAGCCACAGCUUGCCUUGCUGCAGCAUAGAUGAUUUCAGUUUGGAUUAUCAGUGGAAGAUAAACAAAACCAUCGUAAAUUGGCGAGCACUUAUUGCAUUGAGGGGAUGUCUGAGCAGGACCAGCAGCCGCGGGACCGGGCGGCGGCCGAGCUGCCGGCCAAGUCGGCCUGCUCCUCUGGACCGGCGCCGGACCGCAGCACGCUGCUGUUGGAGCGGCUGUUCGGCGUCACGGGCCGGCGGCUGGCGGCGGCCGGCUCCGGGCCGGCGCCGCUGCUGCUGCCCGAGCUGACCGCCUCCGGGGCGCCGCUCUCUCUGGACACGCUGCAGGAGGCGGUCUUUGAGCGGCUCAUGGUCACCGACCGGCCGGCAGACGAGGGCGACGCCUGGACCUACCUGGUGAGGUGCAGCGGCCGGGUGGCGGCCGAGACGUCCACCCAGCUGCCCGACGAACAGCGCGCCGCCGUCCGCGAGCUGAUCGUGCAGAACGGCUCCACCGUGCUCCAGCAGCCGGAUAUUUUCGGCAUGGAGAACCGGCGCAGCUUCUUCGAGUCGCUGCGCGCGCACCUGGCCAUCGACGGCUGGUUCGACGACUUCCUGCGCGCGGUGGUGCUGCGGCUCGUGGAGGAGGAGGCGCCGCUGCGCGACAUAUUCCAGGAGACGUUCCAGUACAUCCAGCGAGUGGUUGGCGAGACCAAGGGCUCGCUGAUGAACAUGGACCGGUUCGUGUACAGCCUGGCCACGUUCAUGUCGACGAUGGCGCCGCUGGCCGAGACGCUGGUCUCGCUGAGCGAGGUGCCCGACACGCUGUCGCUGGGCGGUGUGCUCUACUGUCGCGUGCCGCUCGGCUCGCUGCUCUGGCCUUCGGCGCUGAACCCAGUCGGAGAGUUCUUCGACCAGCCGGUGACGCUGACCCAGCAGAGCGUCGACGUGGUCAACAGCAGCAUCUGGACGUCGGAGCGGUUCAUCGCCGAGACGGUGCACAAGGUAUUUGAGAACAUCCUGCGCUGCGGCGGCCGGGCGCGGCAGCUGCUGCUGCGCUGGAUCGCCGCCUGCCUGCGCGCCAACGCCGGCCGCGCCAAAAUCUGGCACACGGACAUGGACGGCAGCGGCGGCCACAUGGCGCCCGACGGCUUCAUGCUCAACCUGGGCUCGGUGCUGCUGCGGCUGUCGCUGCCGUUCGUCCGCGACCUGGACAGCCCCAAGCUGCUGGAGGUGGACCCGACCUACUGCGCCGCGCCGAUGCCCACCUCCGAGGAGCAGCAGGCGGCUCGGUGGCAGCACCUGGCUGACCUGGACAAGGAGACGUGCCUGGUGCCGAGGCCAGAGGACGCGCCGCCGCCCGCUCCCGGCAAGUUCAACUUUCGCACCGAGUGCUUCUAUCUCUGUCAUAAGACGCUCCAGCUGGGACUCAAGGUGCUGCAGGACAAGCUGUCGAAGCUGAACGGCGAGCUGGGCCGGAUGCAGCGCGUGUACCGGGACGCGCUGACUCAGGCCGCCGGCCAGGACGCCGAGCUGGAGGGCAUCAAGGGCCGGUUCGAGGGUCUGAUGCAGCGCUACCUGUGCCUGAAGGCGGCGCUGACGGAGCCCAGCCGCACCGAGCACGCCUCGCAGUUCCUGACGGCCACGGCCGUGUGGCUGACGCAGCAGGCCGCCCGGCCCGCAGACGACGAGCCGCUGCGGAGCCGCCGCGAGCUGACGUUCCCGCUCCCGUCCCCAGUCCACCCGAGCCUCUCCUGCAUCCCCGAGAUGCUGGCCGACAACCUGACCUCCCACCUGCUGGCCGUGGGCCGCUUCACCCCCGAGCAGUGGAGCGUGGCGCCCGACGCCUGCCGACACAUGUUCUCAUUUAUCCUCGUCUUUAUGGGCUCCACGGAGCGGAUGCGCAACCCGCACCUGCGCGCCCAGCUGGCCGCCUGUCUGGAGGUGCUGCUGCCCGACUUUGGAGAGGAGCACGGCCACGGCCUAUUGAGCGCCGGCUACCAGCGACAGCAGCUGUUCCUGUCGCACGAGCUGGCCGACCAGGUAGUGCCCGCCCUGCUGCACGUGUUCGUCAGCAUCGAGAUGACCGGCCAGAGCGUGCAGUUCGAGGAGAAGUUCAACUACCGGCGGCCCAUGUACGUCAUCAUGAAGUACCUCUGGAGCGUCGACCGGCACCGAAACAUGUUCUUCUCUCUGUCCGAGUCGGCCGAACGGGACAUGGACUCGGCGACACCUCCAAUCUUCCUGCGCUUCAUCAACCUGCUGAUGAACGACGCCGUCUUUCUUCUGGACGAGGCGCUCAGCUACAUGACGCAGCUCAGGGACCAGGUCCAGCACCGUCAGACGGAGGAGUACAGCGCCCUGCCGGCCCAGCAGCGACACCAGCAGGAGGCCAACUUCCGGCACAUGGGCAUGCUGGCGCGCUUCCACAACAUCAUGGCGCGGGAGACGAUCAGCGCGCUGGAGAUGCUCACCUCGGGGAUCCGCUCCAUCUUUCUGCAGCCGGCCAUCGUGGACCGCGUGGUGGCCAUGCUCAACUACUUCCUGCUGCAGCUGGUCGGACCCAAACGCAGGGAGCUCAAGGUGGGCCCAAACGCGGGGAGCUCGGGGCGCGUCCAGACGUGGGGAGCUCAAGGUACGCGACACCUCUGACGACUACGACUUCAAGCCGGGCGAGUUGGUGACUGGUAUCUGCAAGAUCUACACCCAGCUGGAGUGUGAGCAGUUCUGCGCGGCGGUGGCGGCCGACGAGCGCUCCUACUCGCCGCAGCUUUUCACAGACGCCAUCCAAGUGCUCGCGCGGAUCGGCCAGGGCCAGCUGAUCCCGGCCGUGGAGUCGGUGGCCGCUCAGGUGGCCGGCUCGGGCGCCGCGCUCAAAGCCGAGGAGGACCUGGCCGCGCAGGCGCCCGACCACUUCCUGGACCCCAUCAUCUCCAGCCUGAUGGCGGACCCGGUACGGCUGCCCACGUCCGGCAUCAUCUGCGACAGGUCCACCAUCGCACGGCACCUUCUGUCGGACCAGUCGGACCCGUUCAACCGGAAGCCGCUUACCAUGGAGCAGGUGGAGCCGGCCGCCGAGCUCAAGGCGGAGAUCGAGGAGUGGCGCCGACAGAAGCUGGCCGAGCGCUCCGCCGGCGACCGGUGACCUGUGACCCGUGACUGGUGAGCUGUGACCGGUGAUCGGUGCGUGGACCAGAUGCGUUCCGUGCCGCCGGCCGCUCACAGUGACCGCAGAAACAUUCCAGCCUACGUGGCCUGGAAACCGAAGAGGGUCUACUAGAAAAUGUAUAUACGGCGUGCGAGCGUAACAUUCAGAUUAUCAGCCGGGGUGCGUGGUUUCCCGGGUUAUGAGGCCAGAUAUUGCCAUCCACCAGCUGUAUGUGUGCCGCCCGCCGCGUCUCUGAGCUGCUAGAGUACUUGUCGGAGGCCGCUGGUCGGUCCGUGUGGCAGCGCUCUGUGCGUAUGGCAGCCCUGGAGCCGGUGUUUGCGUGUGGAUCGGUUUCGCUAUGUGACGGCGGGCUCAGAUUGCUGGUGCAGUCAGUUGCAGUUAUGUUUUAUGUUGUUUAUUACCUGGAGUGCACAUCACGUAUGAAAAUUGAUUAUCUAUGAGACAAUACACAACAAUUGGUGAACAAGGCAUGAAAA
This 3797-nucleotide unclassified non-coding RNA is filed under the name Amphibalanus amphitrite. RNAcentral describes it as "ubiquitin conjugation factor E4 A-like, transcript variant X3". Lineage: Eukaryota; Metazoa; Arthropoda; Thecostraca; Balanomorpha; Balanidae. The record is from RNAcentral.